CCCUCUCUCUCUGCGCCGCUGCCAUCAUGGUGGCUGCUGGUGAGAUCAGCUCCCGCUCGCAAUCCGUCGCCAUCCGCCCCCCUACAGCUCUCUAUCCGCCAGCAGCCGCCGGGCCAGGGCAGCCACGACUCCCGUCGGACUUUGUGCGUUCCACGGACGGAGGCUGAGAUGCGAGAGGGACUGCGCCUUUCGACGGCUUCGCUGCCGCAGGAUGUCGGAGCGCUCCACGGACGGACGCUGAGAUGCGAGAGGGACCGAACCUCCUGACAGCAUCGCUGUUGCAGGAUGUCGGUGCGCUCCACGGACGGACGCUGAGAUGCGAGAGGGACCGAACCUCCUGACAGCAUCGCUGUUGCAGGAGGUCGGUGCGCUCCGCGGACGGAGGCUGAGAUGUGAGAGGGCCUGCGCUUCUCGACGACGUCGCUGCCGCAGGAGGUCGGUGCGCUCCGCGGACGGAGGCUGAGAUGCGAGAGGGCCUGCGCUUCUCGACGACGUCGCUGCCGCAGGAGGUCGGUGCGCUCCGCGGACGGAGGCUGAGAUGCGAGAGGGCCUGCGCUUCUCGACGACGUCGCUGCUGCAGGAGGUCGGUGCGCACCGCGGACGGAGGCUGAGAUGCGAGAGGGCCUGCGCUUCUCGACGACGUCGCUGCCGCAGGAGGUCGGUGCGCUCCGCGGACGGAGGCUGAGAUGCGAGAGGGCCUGCGCUUCUCGACGACGUCGCUGCCGCAGGUCCUACACAACUGCUUUACCUUGUGUUACAGACACAAAAUGCUGCAGUAACUCAGCGGGACAGGCGGCAUCUCUGGAGAGAAGGAACGGGUGACGUUUCCGGGUCGAUACCCUUCUUCAGACUUCGCAGGGCAGCAAGGAUAUCGAGAGGACUCACCGUUGUGUAUCUACAAUCAUCCCGUACGGGUGCAGCCAUUAUGGCCCAGGUAGGCGACUAGUACAUGGAACAUGAGAGGAAUAGAUCGGGUAGACGCAACGGAGUCUCAAUACAAUAC
Long non-coding RNA from Amblyraja radiata (thorny skate), 1003 nucleotides. RefSeq lists it as uncharacterized. The transcript is spliced from 10 exons. NCBI's taxonomy places the organism in Eukaryota, Metazoa, Chordata, Chondrichthyes, Rajiformes, Rajidae. The record is from RefSeq and is a predicted model, not a curated record.